This 253-nucleotide ribosomal RNA is filed under the name uncultured bacterium. RNAcentral's name for it is "partial 16S ribosomal RNA". It matches the Rfam family "Bacterial small subunit ribosomal RNA", at positions 524 to 776 of the family's 1533-position model. The record is from RNAcentral.
UACAGAGGUGGCAAGCGUUGUUCGGAUUUAUUGGGCGUAAAGGGCUCGUAGGCGGUUCGAAAAGUCAGAUGUGAAAUCCCACAGCUUAACUGUGGAACUGCAUCUGAAACUCUCGAACUAGAGUGUGAGAGGGGUAAAGGGAAUUCCCGGUGUAAGGGUGAAAUCUGCAGAGAUCGGGAAGAACAUCAGUCGCGUAGGCGCUUUACUGGAUCACUACUGACGCUGAGGGGCGAAAGCUAGGGGAGCAAACGGG